This 406-nucleotide ribosomal RNA is filed under the name uncultured bacterium. Its description in RNAcentral is "partial 16S ribosomal RNA". It matches the Rfam family "Bacterial small subunit ribosomal RNA", at positions 29 to 526 of the family's 1533-position model. The record is from RNAcentral.
AUUGAACGCUGGCGGCAGGCCUAACACAUGCAAGUCGAACGAGUGGCGGACGGGUGAGUAAUGUCUGGGAAUCUGCCUGAUGGAGGGGGAUAACUACUGGAAACGGUAGCUAAUACCGCAUACCAUCAGAUGUGCCCAGAUGGGAUUAGCUAGUUGGUGGGGUAACGGCUCACCAAGGCGACGAUACAUAGCCGGCCUGAGAGGAUGAUCGGACACACUGGGACAGAGACACGGCCCAGAGUCCAACGGGAGGCAGCAGGAGGGAAUAUUGGGAAAUGGGCGCAAGCCGGAGACAGCCAUGCCGCGUGUAUGAAGAAGGCCUUCGGGUUGUAAAGUACUUUCAGCGGGGAGGCGUUACCCGCAGAAGAAGCACCGGCUAACUACGUGCCAGCAGCCGCGGUAAUUC